RNAcentral lists this long non-coding RNA (6122 nucleotides) under Marmota monax (woodchuck). The stretch from base 387 to 457 matches the Rfam family "tRNA". The record is from RNAcentral. Lineage: Eukaryota; Metazoa; Chordata; Mammalia; Rodentia; Sciuridae.
CCUCAGCCUCCUGAGCAGCUGAGAUUGCAAACAUGCCCCACCGCACCUGGCACAAGAAUCCUUUUAUACACAGGGCAAAUCUCACAAAAAUGUGAGGGAAGUUCAGGAACCUGAAGCAAACAAGGGCUAAUAGAGUCCUGAGGCUUGAGUUGCAGAUAGAUCUUCUGCUGACAAUGGAGCCCUCCAAAGGCCACGCUGCCAGCGGAGAAACGGACUAAGAAAACCCAGGUCUAGGCACAAAGAAGCUGAGCUUCAGGAGGAGAAAAAUAUUUCUGCUGAAGAAUUUUAAUCAGGGAUACAGCACAACAAUCAUGAUUGGGGUUUCAAUUUUUAAAACUAGGAAACCAUAAGCAAAAAAUUGCAUAGAAAUUAGAACUUGAGGGGCUGGGGUUGUGGCUCAAUGGUAGAGCACUCGUCUCGCACGCGCGGGACCCUGGGUUCAAUCCUUGGGACCACAUAAAAAAUAAGUGAGCGAAAUAAAGGUGUUGUGUCCAACUACAACUAUAAAAUAAAUAUUAAGGAAAAAAAAUAAAUUAGAACUUGAGUUAUAAUCCCAGUAGGUACCUGACAAAAGCAAGCAUAGACCACUGCAGAAAUCCACUCCCCAUCCAGGCUGCCUGGGCUUCCCAUAAAUAUAGUCCCCAAUAAAUUAUGAAAUAAUGACACAGUAAUUCUUUGUGAGUGAAAGUCAACCUAUUUUCUAAAACAAAAGACUUUAGACUCCUAGGGUUUCAGAUAAUUCAAUAACACGAUAGAUGCUUUGGAAGGUAUUUUUUAAACUAAAGACAUAAAGAUUUAAAAAUAUUAAGGAAGAAAUCAAUAUUGUUAAAAUGUCCCUGCUACUGAAAAUGAUCUGCAGAUUCAAUGUAAUCCCUAUCAAAAUACCAAUGACAUUAUUGACAAAACUAGAAACACAGUCCUAAGAUUCAUAUAGAGCCAGAUACCAUGGUGCUCAUCUGUAAUCUCAGUGACAGAAUGAAGAGACAACCUAUAGAAAAGAGAAGUAUUUUCAAACUAUACAAAGGAUUGCUAUCCAGAAGAUGUAAGCAACUCAGAAAACUUGAUAGCAAAGAAACAUAACCCAAUUGAAAAAUGGGCAGUACAUCUAAAUAGACCUUUCUUUAAUGGAAACAUACAGAUGGCCAACAGGUAUGAAAAACAGUUCAACAUCACUAAUCACAGGAAACAUGCAAAUCAAACCCUGAGAUAUCACCUCACUCCAGUAAGAAUGGCUGUUAUCUAAAAGAUAACAAGUGCUGGGGAGGAGGUAGAGAAAAUGGAAGCCUUCCAUGGUGUUGGGAAUGUGAAUUAGUUCAGCUAUUACGGAAAACAAUAUGGAGGUUUCUAAAAAAUGUAAAAUGAAUCUACUAUAGAGCAAUCAUCAUAUAGUUAACUUUUGUGUUUUGAGUUAACUUUUGUGAUCAAAACAAGCACAACUUAAAGGAGGAAAAGUUUAUUUGGGAAUCAUAGUUUCAGAAGUCUUAGCCUGUAGAUGGCCAACUCCAUUGUUUUGGGCUCAAAGUGAGGCAGGACAUCAGUGAGGAAGGGUUGAGUUUCAGAAAGCCACUUAGCUCUUGGUGGAGUUAGGAAGCUAAAGUGGGAGUGGGGGCACUGGAAAUCCUCCAGCCACACCUCACCUGGCUACAGUUGCCACCCCAUCAGUCCAUUCAGACUAGGAUGCACUGAUUAGGUUGCAGCUUCUCACAAUCCAAUUCCUUUCCCUCUGCAUACUCGUGCAUUAACAAGAGUGUUUUGGGGACACUUCACAUCCAAACUAUGACACCAUUCCCAAACCCAGUAUAUGGAAGAGAUAUCUUCUGCACUCUUGUGGGUUUUUGUUUGUUUGUGGUGCUGGGGAUUUAACCCAGGGCCCUGUGCAUGCCAGGCAAGCACACUGAGCUAUAUCCCCAGGUCUGUACUCCCGUGCUGAUUGCAGCACUAUUCACAAUAGUCAAGAAAUGGAAACAACCUAAGUGUCCAUCAUCUGAUACAUGGAUAAAGAAAAUGUACCACACACACACACACACACACACACAGUGAAGUACUAUUUGGCUGCAAAACAGAAUGAAAUCCUGUAAUUUUUAAUAACAUGGGUACAACUGGAGGUCAUUAUGUUAAAGUGAAAUAAGGCAAAGAAAAACAAAUACCAUAUGACUUCAUUUGUAUGUAGAAUCUAAAAAAGUGGAUCUUAUACAUAUAGACUAGAAUGGUAACUAGUAGAUGCUGGGGACAGUGGAGGCAGUUGGAGAGAGGUGGAUUUGCAGGUAUUAUAGGGGAAAGAAGUUCCUGUGUCAUAUUACACAGCAGGGUGACUAAAGAUGAUAAUGUACCGUAUGUUUUUUGAAAGCUUGAAGAAAGGGUUUUGAAUGUUUUCACCAUAAAUGAUCAAUGUUUGAGGAGACAGCUAUUUCUACUCUUAUAUACAUUAUACAGUGUAUACAUCACAUGACACCUCAUUAAUAUGUAUAGUUUUUACUUAUUGGUUAAAAUGAGAUUUUAAAAUAAAGAGUUUAAUAUAAAUGCAUAUGUACAUACAGCAAAAUACCGUGGAGGGGGAAACCUAACCAGACAGAUUUGGAAAAGAACCAACUAGAACAUGUAGGAAUUAAAUAAUCAGUUGGAUUUUAAAAAACCGCUGAGUAAAUAAAUUUAAAACAGGUCUGAUGGAGGUAGAGAUAGAAUUAGCAAACUGACAAAUGGAUAUGAAGUAAUAAAGUAGCAAAGAAAAUAUUUGAGAAUUUAAGAGGUAAGUAGAGGAUUGGAUAAUAAGACUACAGAAAAGAGAAAAGGGAGAGGCAGUUUAAAAAUAAAAAGAACAACAACUAAACAGGCCCAGCAUACAGUGGUGUACACCUGUAAUCCCAGCAGCUCUGGAGGCUGAGGCAGAAGAAUCGCAAGUUCAAAGCCAGCCUCAGCAACUUAGUGAGGCCCUCAGUAACUCAGCAAGACUCUGUCUCAAAAUUAAAAAUAAAAAGAGCUGAGGAUGUGGCCCAAUGGUUAAAGUGCCCCUUGGGUUCAAUCUCUGGUAUCAACAUAAAUUUAAAAAACAGGCUAAAAUUGUCCAGAAGUAACUGUAUACAUUCAGUUUUAUAUUAUUUUCUCUGAUAUAUUUCUGCUAAUCUUAUCACCCAAUCUUUAUAGCUUUGUGAUUGCAUAUCAACCAAACUGAUGGCGAACUUUUCAUUUGGGGGAAAUAAAUCCUAUGAGGAAUCUAUAAGCAUAACAUCCUAUUAAUCUGAAGUUGUGAUUGAUUGGACCAUGAUGGAACAGAGUCAGAGGUGAAUGUGUUACCUGUGGUGGGGUUAGAGGGCAGCAGGUGUGGUGCUCAAGCUCUUGGUUAACCUUCAAUACCCAUGCUAUUAAACCUAGUUAGCUAACUCUUCUUUGGAGCUCACUUUGCUUUUAAGUGGGAGUCUCUGUGCACUCUGGCUGGUGGCAUCACUGUGAAGGUCGGUGAAGAGCAGGAGAUCUUAAAAUAUCUAAGGAGAAAAAUCAUCAUCAAAGUAAUGGCAGCAUGUGGCAGGAGCAAGGUGGUGUGUUCACUAAAUUAUUUUACAUCUUGUAGUGACAUACUAAACUGCAUUUCCCAGCUUCCCCAGCAGCACUCAGUGAUACCAUGGUGGCACCAUGUGAUUGAGUUCUAGCCACAGGCAUAGGAAGGAAAAAACUCCCACUUCCAGAUGUGAUGUUCUGCUUCAUUCCUUAUGUUCUCUUUUCCUGGAUACUUGUUGGAUGGAUAUCAACUUCCAGGAUGAUCUAGAAGCCAUAUGUUGAAAAUGCUAUAAUCUCUUUCAGCCAAGUUUUCUAGAAGGUAGUGUAGAGAAAAACCCCUCAUUUUUGGUCCACAAUGGACCGUGAUAGAUACAAAAAAGGAAUCGUUCUAUUAUAUCGCUGAGACUUAGGGGUUGUUUGUUAUAGCAGCUAAUAUAACUUACCCUAAUGUAUUGCUAAAAAAGAUGUUUAAAGAAUCAAGAAAAGAAAUGGACUUUGCAGAAACAGCAAGAGAUUUGGGAGAAUUUUAUCCCUUGGUUACCAUAAUGUGUCUGCUUUGCAACCUUUGUUUGGACAUGGGACUGUGUCGGAAAAUGAGUGAGCCUGUGGGUGUGUCUCUCUUCUCUAGGACCAGCUAAAUCCAACUGGCUAAAUCCAGACUUUGUGUGGUUGUAUCCUUCCUCUGUCAUGUACACAGGUCCAGGAUUUAUAAGACUUGCUUACUUAACACUAGAGAAGCACCCCCACCCGCCCUGCCACACAUGAUGAUGCUUAGAAACAUCACUAGAUCUUAGAUAAGAUCACCCACUGGCUGCCAUAUCGGAAAAUCACGACUGGCUAAAAAUAAAAAAGGAGUGGCUCUUCAGCUCGCCCUCAAAAAUUAAGGAAUUUAACUUCUCUGAAUUUUACACAUUGUGAGUGAAACAGAGGCACUGGAAAAAGUACUUUGUCAUUGAACUUAAUGUACCCUAUAAUUUGUCAAAUUGGUGUUAUUUGACUUGUUGCAAAUGGAAAUGCUUUUAUGCUAUGAUAGGAAUGUUAUUUGCAGUUCUUUUCUGUUACUGUGCAUAUUUAUUUUUAAAUAACUUUUGAAUAGGAAACAGUCACUUAAUUAAAAAAUAAAGACCCUUUUCCAAAUAGCCAUUAUUCGUUUCUAACUUGCUCUUCUAGAAUUCUGUUUUACAGAUACAAGCAAAUCCACUUUUUAUCCCCUCCCCAUUUCUUGAUACAAAAUAGAGAUUAUCACAUGCCUUAUUCCACAUCUUGCUUUUUCUCACUUGACAAUCUUUCAUAUUAAUUGCUUGUUUUUAACAACUGUGUAUUUAUUUUAGCUUUUUAUUUUGAAAUAUUUCUGAAUUCAUAGUUUCAAAGGCAGUACAGAGAGGUCCCCUGUACCCUUCACCUGGUUUUCCCUAAAACAUCAACAUCUGUUUUUUUUAAGUGUACAUUCAAAAUAACAGUGGCAAAAAACUUUUCACACAAUUCUAAAUACUUUGCAUAUGUGAACUUAUUGAUCCUCAAAAUAUAACAUCUAUAUGCAGAUAGGGAAACUAAGGCACAAAGUUGUUAAAUAACUUGUUCAAAUGACAGAGAUAGAUAGUAACUGAUAAAGCCAGGAUUUGAACCCAGGCAGUUUGGCUUAAAAGUCUAUAGUCUUGCCAGGUGCGGUGGCGCACACCUGUAAUCCCAGCAGCAUGGGAGGCUGAGGCAGGAGGAUCUUGAAUUCAAAGCCAGCUUCAGCAAUAGUGAGGUGCUAAACAACUCUGUGAGACCCUGUCUCUUAAUAAAAUACAAAAUAGGGCUAGGGAUAUGGCUUAGUGGUCGAGUGCCCCUGAAUUCAAUUCCUGGUACCCCCCCCCCAAAAAAAAAGAGUCUAUAGUCUUAAUUCUGAAGUGACAUUGACUCCUUUUGAAUAGUGGGUGGUUACUAUUGGAAGGGUGGGAGAUACAGUCACUCUUAACAAUUCUUUUAGCAAAUUUUCAUGAAUGUUCAUGAAAGUUCAUGCAUACAUUAAGACACUACUGUUCUAAAACUUUUUAUUUCAUCGCAUUAAUAUUAAAGAACUUUCUAAGCAACAUUUAUGGAUCUCACAUUUUAAGUAUAUGCACAUUUUAUGACUUUUCCUUAAUUUAUUGCAGAUAUUUAGGUGUUUCUUUAUAAGAAUUGCUGCAGCAAACAUUUUUUUGCACACAUAUCUCUGCUCACUUACAUGAGUAAACAUACAGUAUAAGAUCCUAGAAGUGAAAUUGCUGGCUCACAGGUAUGUAUGGUUUAUAUUUUAUUAGGCUUUCCCAAAUUUCUCUUCAAAAAUUUGGCUGUAAUUUAUGCUUCUGACCUCAUUGUUUUGAGUUACCUCUACAACCUUAUUAAGGAUUCCUUGUUAAUAAUAAUCAGAGACCUAAAUUGAACCAAUACAGAGAUGUGCAAUUUUGUAUUUAUCAAGAAUUAUAAGUCUACACUGCCAAUAUCAUUGUAAAAGAAUAAAAUUUUGUUAUACAAAACUAGAUUUUGUUAAAACAGUUUUUUUUUUCCUAAUAGUUGGUAGUGCAGAAAGUUUGUGUAGUCAUGGAAUGGAUUGCAUAAGGGAGAUAUUUGCAAGGAAUAUUGAAACAAGGAAGAUUUUUUUAAGA